UGGCUCAGUGGUUAAGAGCACUGACUGUUCUUCCAGAGGUCCUGGGUUCAAAUCCCAG
This is a non-coding RNA of Rattus norvegicus (Norway rat), 58 nucleotides long. NCBI's taxonomy places the organism in Eukaryota, Metazoa, Chordata, Mammalia, Rodentia, Muridae. The record is from Rfam.